CAGAUUGACAGCAGGACAAAUCGCUGGAAAUAGGUAUGUCUCAAGCUUCUUCCACUUGGUCCACUCCAAAGCGGGCUGCAAAGGGGAAGAAGUGGAAGCAGUUGAAUGACACAUGUUGCAUUUUGUAACUGGCAACAAAGUACCAGGUAAAAAAGAUUGUGAAGCCUGCCUCCAUAAAGAACUAGUAGCUCUACAGGACAGAGAUUGGCUUGCCAUCAAGUACUACAUCCAUAACAGAAUUAUAUUAAAAAAAGGGGAAAAAAAUGUUUUCCCACAUCUUCUGUGGUAGUUUGAGUAUGUUACCAGCAAUUAAAAAAGCAAAAUAAA
Molecule: long non-coding RNA, 327 nt
Organism: Nerophis ophidion (straightnose pipefish)
Lineage: Eukaryota; Metazoa; Chordata; Actinopteri; Syngnathiformes; Syngnathidae
Exons: 2
Source: RefSeq, a predicted model, not a curated record